CGUACACUCCUACGGGAGGCAGCAGUGGGGAAUAUUGGACAAUGGGCGCAAGCCUGAUCCAGCCAUGCCGCGUGAGUGAUGAAGGCCCUAGGGUUGUAAAGCUCUUUCACCGGUGAAGAUAAUGACGGUAACCGGAGAAGAAGCCCCGGCUAACUUCGUGCCAGCAGCCGCGGUAAUACGAAGGGGGCUAGCGUUGUUCGGAUUUACUGGGCGUAAAGCGCACGUAGGCGGACUAUUAAGUCAGGGGUGAAAUCCCGGGGCUCAACCCCGGAACUGCCUUUGAUACUGGUAGUCUUGAGUUCGAGAGAGGUGAGUGGAAUUCCGAGUGUAGAGGUGAAAUUCGUAGAUAUUCGGAGGAACACCAGUGGCGAAGGCGGCUCACUGGCUCGAUACUGACGCUGAGGUGCGAAAGCGUGGGGAGCAAACAGGAUUAGAUACCCCUGUAGUCCC
RNAcentral lists this ribosomal RNA (450 nucleotides) under uncultured organism. RNAcentral describes it as "partial 16S ribosomal RNA". It matches the Rfam family "Bacterial small subunit ribosomal RNA", at positions 330 to 797 of the family's 1533-position model. The record is from RNAcentral.